This 468-nucleotide ribosomal RNA is filed under the name uncultured bacterium. Its description in RNAcentral is "partial 16S ribosomal RNA". It matches the Rfam family "Bacterial small subunit ribosomal RNA", at positions 28 to 507 of the family's 1533-position model. The record is from RNAcentral.
GACGAACGCUGGCGGCGUGCUUAACACAUGCAAGUCGAACGGAAAGGCCCUGCUUUUGUGGGAUGCUCGAGUGGCGAACGGGUGAGUAACACGUGAGUAACCUGCCCUUGAGUUUGGGAUAACGUCAGGAAACUGGGGCUAAUACAGGAUAGGAGCUCCUGAUGCAUGGGGGGGGAGGGAAAGUUCCGGCGGUUGGGGAUGGACUCGCGGCUUAUCAGCGUGUUGGCGGGGUAGUGGCUUACAAAGGCCUCGACGGGUAGCCGGCCUGAGAGGGUGACCGGGCCCAAUGGGCCUGCGGUACGGCCCAGACGGCUACGUGGGGCAGCAGUGGGAAAUCUUGCACAAUGGGCCGAAGCCUGGUGCAGCGACGCCGGGUGCGGGAUGACGGCUUUCGGGUUGUAAACCGCUUUCGCCUGUGACGCAGCGUGAGUGACGGUACUGUGUGAAGAAGCACCGGCUAACUACGUG